CUCAGGCCGGAUCAGCCUGAAGGCGCCCGAUCUCGUCUGAUCUCGGAAGCUAAGGCAGGGUCGGGCCUGGUUAGUAUCUUGGAUGGGAGACCACCUGGGAAUCCCGGGUGCUCGAGGCC
Molecule: ribosomal RNA, 119 nt
Filed under: Bison bison bison
Lineage: Eukaryota; Metazoa; Chordata; Mammalia; Artiodactyla; Bovidae
Source: RNAcentral